GUGGGUAGUUUGACUGGGGCGGUCUCCUCCCAAAGAGUAACGGAGGAGCACGAAGGUUAGCUAAUCCUGGUCGGACAUCAGGAGGUUAGUGCAAUGGCAUAAGCUAGCUUGACUGCGAGAGUGACGGCUCGAGCAGGUGCGAAAGCAGGUCAUAGUGAUCCGGUGGUUCUGAAUGGAAGGGCCAUCGCUCAACGGAUAAAAGGUACUCCGGGGAUAACAGGCUGAUACCGCCCAAGAGUUCAUAUCGACGGCGGUGUUUGGCACCUCGAUGUCGGCUCAUCACAUCCUGGGGCUGAAGUAGGUCCCAAGGGUAUGGCUGUUCGCCAUUUAAAGUGGUACGCGAGCUGGGUUUAGAACGUCGUGAGACAGUUCGGUCCCUAUCUGCCGUGGGCGCUGGAGAAUUGAGGGGGGCUGCUCCUAGUACGAGAGGACCGGAGUGGACGCAUCACUGGUGUUCGGGUUGUCAUGCCAAUGGCACUGCCCGGUAGCUAAAUGCGGAAGAGAUAAGUGCUGAAAGCAUCUAAGCACGAAACUUGC
This 537-nucleotide ribosomal RNA is filed under the name Enterobacter cloacae. RNAcentral's name for it is "partial 23S ribosomal RNA". It matches the Rfam family "Bacterial large subunit ribosomal RNA", at positions 2261 to 2797 of the family's 2925-position model. Lineage: Bacteria; Pseudomonadati; Pseudomonadota; Gammaproteobacteria; Enterobacterales; Enterobacteriaceae. The record is from RNAcentral. RNAcentral also lists the same sequence under 3 other names.